This 254-nucleotide ribosomal RNA is filed under the name uncultured bacterium. Its description in RNAcentral is "partial 16S ribosomal RNA". It matches the Rfam family "Bacterial small subunit ribosomal RNA", at positions 524 to 776 of the family's 1533-position model. The record is from RNAcentral.
UACAGAGGUCUCAAGCGUUGUUCGGAAUUACUGGGCGUAAAGGGUGCGCAGGCCGCGCGGGCAGUCAAAUGUGUAAUCCAGGGGCUCAACCCCUGAACUGCGCUUGAUACUUCCGCGCUCGAGCUUUGGAGAGGAGUCUGGAAGUUCUCGGUGUAGCAGUGAAAUGCGUGGAUAUCGAGAAGAACACUUAGGGCGAAGGCAAGACUCUGGACAAAUGCUGACGCUCAUGCACGAAGGCUAGGGUAGCGAACAGG